This 253-nucleotide ribosomal RNA is filed under the name uncultured bacterium. Its description in RNAcentral is "partial 16S ribosomal RNA". It matches the Rfam family "Bacterial small subunit ribosomal RNA", at positions 524 to 776 of the family's 1533-position model. The record is from RNAcentral.
UACGUAGGGUGCAAGCGUUAAUCGGAAUUACUGGGCGUAAAGCGUGCGCAGGCGGUUUUGUAAGUCUGACGUGAAAUCCCCGGGCUCAACCUGGGAAUUGCGUUGGAGACUGCAAGGCUAGAGUUUGGCAGAGGGGGGUAGAAUUCCACGUGUAGCAGUGAAAUGCGUAGAUAUGUGGAGGAACACCGAUGGCGAAGGCAGCCCCCUGGGUCAAGACUGACGCUCAUGCACGAAAGCGUGGGGAGCAAACAGG